Gadus morhua (Atlantic cod) is the source of this 733-nucleotide long non-coding RNA. RefSeq lists it as uncharacterized. NCBI's taxonomy places the organism in Eukaryota, Metazoa, Chordata, Actinopteri, Gadiformes, Gadidae. The transcript is spliced from 5 exons. The record is from RefSeq and is a predicted model, not a curated record.
UUCUUUACACAGAUAUAUAUUUGCUCUUUGGAUCAAGCAGAUCACUUUCUUAAGGCAGUUCCUCGGACAAGCAGAGGAAAAUUUGCAUCAAGAUGUCUCCCGUGAAUCAAAAGGACCCACAACCUGGGGACCUGAUAGAAAUCUUUCAUGAUUUAUACAAGCAUUGGGCUGUAUACGUUGGGGAUGGCUUUGUUGUUCACAUGACACUAAAUGGAUCCAGUGCAACAAGCAGCAGCAGCAGCAGUGGCAGCAGCAGCGGGGCUGCGUUAAUUACAAAAGCUAUGGUGAAGUACGAAGAACUGAAAGCUGUUGUUGGAGAUGCCAAAUGGGAAAUCAACAAUUUAAUGGACGGCCGGCGCCGACCCCGGGACGCCAGGAUCAUCGUGGCAAAAGCUCUCCAGCUGGUGGGCUCCGAGCCACAGUACAAUUUAAUUUCGAAUAACUGUGAACACUUCGCUACAGGGUUGCGCUACGGCAUAAGUCUAUCUAGACAGGUAGUUGAAGCAAUCCAAGCGGUGUUGAACCCUGUAGGUGCUAUCAUUGGUUGGUUUCUAAGGCCAUGAAAAAAGGUUGCUGACAAGGCCAAACUAAAACACCAUAGAUAAGAGUAUGUGAUAUUAACACAAUUUAAACCAAAUGUUUAAUGACAAACUUGUGAUUCACUUUGUCAGCGUACUUUUUAAUACGUUAUCUUUCAAUAUGGUUAUUACUUAAUUAAAGGAAUUAUUACUCA